CCUACGGGCGGCAGCAGUGGGGAAUAUUGGACAAUGGGCGAAAGCCUGAUCCAGCCAUGCCGCGUGUGUGAAGAAGGCCUUCGGGUUGUAAAGCACUUUCAGUGGGGAAGAAAGCCUUGGGGCUAAUACCCUCGAGGAAGGACAUCACCCACAGAAGAAGCACCGGCUAACUCCGUGCCAGCAGCCGCGGUAAUACGGAGGGUGCGAGCGUUAAUCGGAAUUACUGGGCGUAAAGCGCGCGUAGGCGGUCUGAUAAGCCGGUUGUGAAAGCCCCGGGCUCAACCUGGGAACGGCAUCCGGAACUGUCAGGCUAGAGUGCAGGAGAGGAAGGUAGAAUUCCCGGUGUAGCGGUGAAAUGCGUAGAGAUCGGGAGGAAUACCAGUGGCGAAGGCGGCCUUCUGGACUGACACUGACGCUGAGGUGCGAAAGCGUGGGUAGCAAACAGGAUUAGAUACCCUAGUGGUC
This 465-nucleotide ribosomal RNA is filed under the name Vreelandella stevensii. Its description in RNAcentral is "partial 16S ribosomal RNA". It matches the Rfam family "Bacterial small subunit ribosomal RNA", at positions 338 to 795 of the family's 1533-position model. The record is from RNAcentral. Lineage: Bacteria; Pseudomonadati; Pseudomonadota; Gammaproteobacteria; Oceanospirillales; Halomonadaceae.